Molecule: non-coding RNA, 113 nt
Filed under: Fervidicella metallireducens
Lineage: Bacteria; Bacillati; Bacillota; Clostridia; Eubacteriales; Clostridiaceae
Also listed under: 1 other name
Description: TPP sequence
Rfam family: TPP riboswitch aptamer (THI element)
About the family: Vitamin B(1) in its active form thiamin pyrophosphate (TPP) is an essential coenzyme that is synthesised by coupling of pyrimidine and thiazole moieties in bacteria.
Source: RNAcentral
UUUAAUCACUAGGGGGGCUGGAUGAGGCCAGCUGAGAUUAAGAUCCUGAGAAAUCUUUGACCCUUUAACCUGAUCUGGAUAAUACCAGCGUAGGAAAGUGGACUGAAAUAAGA